CCUACGGGAGGCAGCAGUGGGGAAUUUUGGACAAUGGGCGAAAGCCUGAUCCAGCCAUGCCGCGUGCAGGAUGAAGGCCUUCGGGUUGUAAACUGCUUUUGUACGGAACGAAAAGCCUCUUUCUAAUAAAGAGGGGUCAUGACGGUACCGUAAGAAUAAGCACCGGCUAACUACGUGCCAGCAGCCGCGGUAAUACGUAGGGUGCGAGCGUUAAUCGGAAUUACUGGGCGUAAAGCGUGCGCAGGCGGUUAUAUAGGACAGUUGUGAAAUCCCCGGGCUCAACCUGGGAACUGCAUCUGUGACUGUAUAGCUAGAGUACGGUAGAGGGGGAUGGAAUUCCGCGUGUAGCAGUGAAAUGCGUAGAUAUGCGGAGGAACACCGAUGGCGAAGGCAAUCCCCUGGACCUGUACUGACGCUCAUGCACGAAAGCGUGGGGAGCAAACAGGAUUAGAUACCCUGGUAGUCCACGCCCUAAACGAUGUCAACUGGUUGUUGGGAAUUCACUUUCUUAGUAACGAAGCUAACGCGUGAAGUUGACCGCCUGGGGAGUACGGCCGCAAGGUUGAAACUCAAAUGAAUUGACGG
RNAcentral lists this ribosomal RNA (585 nucleotides) under uncultured bacterium. Its description in RNAcentral is "bacterial SSU rRNA". It matches the Rfam family "Bacterial small subunit ribosomal RNA", at positions 338 to 916 of the family's 1533-position model. The record is from RNAcentral.